RNAcentral lists this transfer RNA (87 nucleotides) under Clostridia bacterium. Its description in RNAcentral is "tRNA-Leu". It matches the Rfam family "tRNA". Rfam says of the family: Transfer RNA (tRNA) molecules are approximately 80 nucleotides in length. Their secondary structure includes four short double-helical elements and three loops (D, anti-codon, and T loops). RNAcentral also lists the same sequence under 2 other names. The record is from RNAcentral. Lineage: Bacteria; Bacillati; Bacillota; Clostridia.
GCGGAUAUGGCGGAAUUGGCAGACGCGUUAGAUUCAGGUUCUAAUGGGCGCAAGUUCGUGCAGGUUCAAGUCCUGUUAUCCGCACCA